GUUGGGAUCAUAGGUAGAAGGUUGGGGAUAGGUUAUUUGUAAAAUUGUCGGCGGUGGAUCGCUAGGCUCUCGUGGCGUCGAAGAACGCAGCAAGGUGCGAAAAGUGGUGCCGGACGCAGCGUGUGGCAUCCAGUGUUUGAACGCAAAAUGCAACAAUAUAUAUUCCCAUUCAAUAUGCUCGACAGGUCGGGUCAAAAUGUCCAAGAAAAUCACAAUUUUAUAUAGGGUGACCCGUUGAACUUAAGCAUAUCAGUAGGCGGAGGAAAGGAAACCAACAGGGACUCCCGCAGUAACUGCGAGUGAAGGGGGACAAGCCGCAAUGGGAAUCCUCAAGGAAUUGUAUCGGGGGCAGCGCAACUGGUCUGGAAGGGCCGACGACAGCGAGUGACAGUCUCGAGCGUGCUCCGUGGCGACAGUCGGGCUGCAUGGGCGCGCAGUCUCAAGGGGUGGUGCAUGACAUCCAAGGCUAAGUACGGACGAGAGGCCGAUAGAGAACAAGUACCGUGAGGGAAAGCUGAAAAGGACUUUGGAAAGAGAGUCAAAAGACGUGAAACCGCGGGCGCAUCCAAUUGCUGGACCCGUCUUGAAACACGGACCAAGGAGUUGUCGUCGCGUGCAAGUGUGCGCUAGCAAUAGUGUGGGCCGAUUUUAAAAGUUGGGAGCACGCGGCGGCAGACCCGAAAGACGGUGAGCUAUGUCUGGGGAGGGCGAAGCCGGUGGAAACGCUGGUGGAGGCCCGAAGCGGUGCUGACGUGCAAAUCGCUCGCGCCACCUGGAUAUAGGGGCGAAAGACCAAUCGAACCGUCUGGUAGCUGGUUCCGUC
RNAcentral lists this unclassified non-coding RNA (823 nucleotides) under uncultured fungus. RNAcentral describes it as "sequence contains 18S rRNA gene, ITS1, 5.8S rRNA gene, ITS2, 28S rRNA gene". The stretch from base 208 to 823 matches the Rfam family "Eukaryotic large subunit ribosomal RNA", at positions 1 to 961 of the family's 3401-position model. The record is from RNAcentral. Lineage: Eukaryota; Fungi.